GGGGAACUGAAACAUCUAAGUACCCCGAGGAAAAGAAAUCAACCGAGAUUCCCCCAGUAGCGGCGAGCGAACGGGGAGCAGCCCAGAGUCUGAAUCAGCUUGUGUGUUAGUGGAACGGUCUGGAAAGUCCGACGGUACAGGGUGAUAGUCCCGUACACCAAAAUGCACAGGCUGUGAACUCGAAGAGUAGGGCGGGACACGUGGUAUCCUGUCUGAAUAUGGGGGGACCAUCCUCCAAGGCUAAAUACUCCUGACUGACCGAUAGUGAACCAGUACCGUGAGGGAAAGGCGAAAAGAACCCGGCGAGGGGAGUGAAAAAGAACCUGAAACCGUGUACGUACAAGCAGUGGGAGCACCUUCGGGUGUGACUGCGUACCUUUUGUAUAAUGGGUCAGCGACUUAUAUUCUGUAGCAAGGUUAACCGUAUAGGGGAGCCGCAGGGAAACCGAGUCUAACUGGGCGUUAAGUUGCAGGGUAUAGACCCGAAACC
RNAcentral lists this ribosomal RNA (490 nucleotides) under Klebsiella pneumoniae. Its description in RNAcentral is "bacterial LSU rRNA". It matches the Rfam family "Bacterial large subunit ribosomal RNA", at positions 187 to 722 of the family's 2925-position model. Lineage: Bacteria; Pseudomonadati; Pseudomonadota; Gammaproteobacteria; Enterobacterales; Enterobacteriaceae. The record is from RNAcentral.